RNAcentral lists this ribosomal RNA (528 nucleotides) under uncultured bacterium. RNAcentral's name for it is "bacterial SSU rRNA". It matches the Rfam family "Bacterial small subunit ribosomal RNA", at positions 981 to 1509 of the family's 1533-position model. The record is from RNAcentral.
UUGACAUCCAGAGAACUUAGCAGAGAUGCUUUGGUGCCUUCGGGAACUCUGAGACAGGUGCUGCAUGGCUGUCGUCAGCUCGUGUUGUGAAAUGUUGGGUUAACGUCCGCAACGAGCGCAACCCUUAUCCUUUGUUGCCAGCGGUUCGGCCGGGAACUCAAAGGAGACUGCCGGUGAUAAACCGGAGGAAGGUGGGGAUGACGUCAAGUCAUCAUGGCCCUUACGGCCAGGGCUACACGCGUGCUACAAUGGCGCAUACAAAGAGAAGCGACCUCGCGAGAGCAAGCGGACCUCAUAAAGUGCGUCGUAGUCCGGAUUGGAGUCUGCAACUCGACUCCAUGAAGUCGGAAUCGCUAGUAAUCGUAGAUCAGAAUGCUACGGUGAAUACGUUCCCGGGCCUUGUACACACCGCCCGUCACACCAUGGGAGUGGGUUGCAAAAGAAGUAGGUAGCUUAACCUUCGGGGGGGCGCUUACCACUUUGUGAUUCAUGACUGGGGUGAAGUCGUAACAAGGUAAGCGUAGCGAG